Molecule: ribosomal RNA, 590 nt
Filed under: Streptomyces sp. SCAU9009
Lineage: Bacteria; Bacillati; Actinomycetota; Actinomycetes; Kitasatosporales; Streptomycetaceae
Description: bacterial SSU rRNA
Rfam family: Bacterial small subunit ribosomal RNA
Source: RNAcentral
CGGGUGAGUAACACGUGGGCAAUCUGCCCUGCACUCUGGGACAAGCCCUGGAAACGGGGUCUAAUACCGGAUGACACUUUCUCUCGCAUGGGAGAAGGUUGAAAGCUCCGGCGGUGCAGGAUGAGCCCGCGGCCUAUCAGCUAGUUGGUGAGGUAGAAGCUCACCAAGGCGACGACGGGUAGCCGGCCUGAGAGGGCGACCGGCCACACUGGGACUGAGACACGGCCCAGACUCCUACGGGAGGCAGCAGUGGGGAAUAUUGCACAAUGGGCGAAAGCCUGAUGCAGCGACGCCGCGUGAGGGAUGACGGCCUUCGGGUUGUAAACCUCUUUCAGCAGGGAAGAAGCGCAAGUGACGGUACCUGCAGAAGAAGCGCCGGCUAACUACGUGCCAGCAGCCGCGGUAAUACGUAGGGCGCAAGCGUUGUCCGGAAUUAUUGGGCGUAAAGAGCUCGUAGGCGGCUUGUCACGUCGGUUGUGAAAGCCCGGGGCUUAACCCCGGGUCUGCAGUCGAUACGGGCAGGCUAGAGUGUGGUAGGGGAGAUCGGAAUUCCUGGUGUAGCGGUGAAAUGCGCAGAUAUCAGGAGGAAC